AGAGAGAGAGAGAGAGAGAGAGAGAGAGAGAGAGAAGCCAGUUUUAGGAGAGAGAGAGAGAAAGCACGAGAGAAGAAGGGGAAAGUACAGGGAACCCAUUUUUAGGUUUUGAGAGAGAAAAAGAGAAAGCAUGGGAGAAGAAGAUGAAAGUGUAGGGAACCCAUUUUUAGGUUUUGAAAUAGAGUAAAAGAAAGCAUGAGAGAAGAAGGGGAAAGUGCAGGGAGCCCAUUUUUAGGUUUAGCGAUAGAGAAAGAGAAAGCACUGGAGAAGAAGGGGAAAGUGCAGGGAAGAGGAGAAAAAGUGCAGAGCACUAAAAGAGAGAGAGAGAAAUCCAUUUAGGCACCUAGAUCUUCCCACCUGUGGGAUGGAUUCCAGAGAGAGAGAGAGACUAAAUCCACCACUCGAGGAGAGGGAGAAACACAUGUAAGAUGGUCUAUUCCUCUGAAAAAUUCCUCCACUAUUUUUUUUUGGACUCGGAUUAAUAGGUUUUAUCUCUCUCUCUUUCCUUCAUUGUAUCAAAGGAUUGCUUUGACGAUUGUGUACAUUUUUUGCAUUUUAAUGCCAGUAUUGUGAGUGAUUUAUUGGUACGAAUUAGUGGCUAAUAUGCUUGACUACUACCAUGAGCUUCUAUGAGAUGAUCCAUAAAUUAGCGAGAGAGAUUAGGAUAGAGACAUGUUGAGUCUGCUAUUAACAUAUUGAGGCAUGUAUUGUCUUUCUAGCAAAUUGGUGCUUAUUUGUGGUGGCUUGAGAGGAAACUUAGACAACUUUUCUAGGAAUUCUACCAAUUUUGAAAAAAAAAUGCAUUGGUUGUCUCAUUUGUUCUCUAUUUACUGUUUCAAAGUUUUUUUUUCUCAAUUUUUUUAAUCUAUUGUUUGUUUUCUUGAGGUUUUGAGGUUUUUGUAGGUUUUUAUGAGUGUUGUUUGCCAAUUUGGCCUGAAAAUUUUAUUUCGGGAUGUUAAUAUGAAAUAAAAGAAUUAAAAGAUUUGAAUAAGGAUGUACUUUUUUUUAUGAGUAAUGAUCCUAUGAGACCCUUCCACACCCAUGCGUGUAGGACCCCAAAGGAUCACCAUUAAAUUUGGUACAGAUCUCUAGAAAAGUUAUUACAUAAGUAUGGGAUUUGACUUUUUCUAGAUAUCUGUAACAAAUUUAAUGGUGAUCAUUUGGGGUCCUAUACACAUGGGCAUGGGAGGGUCUCAUAAGAUCAUUGCUCUUGUUUUAUUGGUAAGGAUUUAUGGCAUUCCUCAAAAAAAUCUUUUUUUUUAGUGAUUUUUGUUUUAUUUUGUAUGGAUUGUAUCUUAAGAAACUUAAUUUCGAGCUCUCCUUCUCUAUCUCUACCUCUCUUAUUGUGUGAUUUGUUGUAGUGAAUUUUAAAUUUUUUAGUUGUUUUGCUAUCAAUUUAUAACUCAAUUUCUAGUUAGUAUUUUUUAUUUAUUGUUCUGCUAGAUUUUGAAAUUCUUGCUUAUACUUAAAUUUUGUGUCUAUGUAAUAUAGAAAUGAAUUUGUGUUAAUUACUUAUGUUUAGGUAUUACUUAUUAAAAGUUAUGGACAUCAUGGAGAAGGGUGCUCAAGUGGUGACAUUGUUGCCAACAUGGAGCCUAUUAAGGCUUACAUACCCAUUGAGGCACUCGUACACUUGAUUCAUCCUAUAAGAUGGACCAGGAUGAUUUCUAGAAAACCAAUUUUAUGGAUGUAAGUUAUGAUAAUGUCAUAGCAACUGAGGAUGGUGAGGACAAUGAGGUCCCAUUGUUUUGUGAUCACUAAGAUAAUAGUGGGCAUCAAAGGACUUAUUUGUAGGAAUGAACUUUGAAUGUGAUGAUGUUGCGUAUCAAUUUUACAAUACAUAUGUUUAACGAAAAGGCUUUAGCAUUCGUCUUGAGAGGCCAAGGAAGGACAAUGACAAUAAUUUGAGGAUGCGAGAUUAUGUUUGCUCAAAAGAAGCCAAACGUGAUCCAAAGUAUACAAGAAAACUCAUCAUCGACCAAUAACAAGGGAAUGAUGCCAAGCAAUUUUAAGGGUGCACAGGAUGAAAGAGAGAAAAUGAGUUGUAACGAAAUUUGUUGAGGAGCACUCCCACAAGUUUACAUCGCCAUUAAAGGUACAUCAUUUGAGAUCACAUUGACGCAUCCCAACAGCUACCAUGAACUUGGUUAAAGCGAUGUCUUCAGCAAGGUUGGUGUACAUAAAAUUAUGUAAUUUUUAACAGAACAUAUGAAUGAGUUCAAUGCUCUAAGCUUCACUCACAUAGAUGUCGAAAAGUUUAUCCAUAGCACCUGUAGGAAGGCGAGUGUUAGAGGGAGGGAUGGGGAGGCUCUUUUGACCUACUUUUGUGAACGUGUUGAGGCGAACCCAUGUUUUUUUUAUAAAAUACAAUUUGAUGAAGUAGGUUAAGUCUGUAAUUGACUAUGGAUUGACUCGUGAUCAAGGAUAUCAUAUGAGUACUUUGGCAAUGUAGUUAUUUUUAUACAAUAUAUAAGACAAAUACAUAUCACAUACUUUUUGCCCCCAUUAUUGGAGCAAACCACCACAGAAACAACAUAGUCUUUGGUUGUGCACUAUUUAAGCAUGAGACAACAUAGUCUUUUAGUUGGCUAUUUGGGUAUUGGCUAGAAGCUAUGUAGGGUUGAUAGCCGGGUUGCAUCAUUACUGAUCAAGACGCAGUCAUGGCUGCUGCAAUUAAAGAAGUUCUUCCAAAUGCACGUCAUCAAUUAUGUAGAUGGUGUAUUUCACGAAAGUUUCAAGAAAAAUUGGGGCAUGUUGAGCGGAAGCACCCAAAGUUCUUACAUGAGCUGUAUAAAAUCACUACUGAUUAUAAUGAGACAAUUAACUAUUUUGAGGAUCGUUGGUCCAGAGUGCUCCAAAAAUAUGAGCUUGGGGGGAAUUAAUGGUUGAACAUAACAUAUGGAUGUCAUUCUCAGUGGGUUGAUGUGUACAUGACGAAUACAUUUCUUGCUAGUGCACAGUCUAGUCAACGAAGUGAAUCUAUGAAUAGUUUUAUUAAACAAUAUGUAAAUUUACACACCAAUUUUUCAGGAUUUGCAAAACGGUGCUAGAAAGCAAUUGACUAUCUAUAUGAGAAAGAAAAUAUGAUAGAAUUCAAGGGCACUGAAGGUAUUCUAAUGAUAAGAACGACAUUCCGCUAUGAAAAACAAGCUGUUAAGUUGUACACCCAUGGUGUAUUUAGGAAGUUUGUUGAGGAAAUUCAAAAGAUACCUCCUAUGGUUGCAGAGUCUAUAGAAGUUGAGGGACCAAAUACCACAUAUAGGGUGUAUAAAUAUGAUGUCAAUCGACCACAAUAUAAAGUGAUAUUCAAUGAAUCAUAAAUUACAGCAACUUGCACAUGUUGCUUGUAUGAACAUGAUGGUAUUCUUUGUGCACAUGUCUUAAAGGUUUUCUAUUAUAAUAAUGUUAUGCUCAUCCCUGAGCACUACGUCAUGAAAAGAUGGAGUAAGGAAGGGAACAAAGGGAUGGUAUCAGAUGGCGAUGAUGUUUAAAUUAAUGCUGACAAUAAGGAGUCUCAAACUGCUCGUUACGAUGAUUUAAGUAGAGUCACCUUUAAAGUUGUCUCAAACGGAUCAGAUAGUGAAAGACUCUUGGAAUUUACAAAAAAUAUUCUUAUGGAGUGUAAUGACAAAGUGGAGAGGAAGAGAUUGGAGUAUGAAGAAGAGGCAACUUGUUCGAAUCAAGGUAGCAAUAUAAAGAAUGUCAUGCCUAGUCAUAGUUACACACCAUGGACUAACACAAACAUCUUUAUACUUGAAUCACAAUGUACUCGAACAAAAGGGCGGCCUGACACUAUAAGAAAGAAAGCACCAUGGGAGGAGAAGACAAGCACGAGGAAGUAUUCUAUUUGCUAAAAUGUAGGGCAUGAUAGACGAACUUGUCCAACUUUUAGAACUCACGAGUAAAAUUAAUAAUUAUGCUUACAAGUAAAAUUUAAUGUUGUUAUACUUUAAUAUUGUCUUGUGAAUUUGAAAUAAUGCAUCAACUAAUCACUGUUUUGCAACUUAUGCAGGUCCGAUAUGGAAAUUCCCAUAAUGGCGCCUGAAGCUGAGCGAAACAAUAUGUAGACUUCGCUAUGUACACCAUUCGCUGAGCGAAACAACUCAUCAUCUUAGAAAUUUUUUGCAAGCCCAAUGCUCAACAAACAAGCUCAUCAUCUUAGAAAUUUUUUGCAAGCCCAAUGCUCAACAAUCAAGCUCAUCAUCUUAGAAAUUUUUUGCAAGCCCAAUGCUCAACAAUCAAGCUCAUCAUAUUUGAAAUUUUUUGCAACCCUAAUGCUAGUGGAGAAGACUUUAUCUUGGAAUGGAGCUUCGAAAUGGAAUUUUUGUAUAGCUUCCAUAUGUUGCAAAUUCCUGUUGCAAGUAGAAUUUUGUAUAGUUUCAAAGUGCAUGCUCUUUGGGUGCUGCAAAUAAAUUUUUUGUAAUAGCUUUCCAUUUUGCAAUUUCAAAGUGCAUAUUGAUUAGCUUCAAAAUGAAAUUUUUGUACAGCUUUCCAUUUUGCAAAUUGAUAAUGCAAAUAAAAUUUUUGUAUAGCUUCGAAAUAAA
This 4544-nucleotide long non-coding RNA is filed under the name Amborella trichopoda. RNAcentral's name for it is "long non-coding RNA (ATRI_LNC001745)". The record is from RNAcentral. Lineage: Eukaryota; Viridiplantae; Streptophyta; Magnoliopsida; Amborellales; Amborellaceae.